UCUGUCCCUAGAGUUGCUGCAGUUACAGCUGCUGUCACAUGUGCGUCAGUAGGUGGCAGAGAGGAAAGAGGCUAUGUCUAUGCUCAGUGUUCUGACCUGUGACCAUCGUAAUGAUGAGUAGCCUCACACU
Mastomys coucha (southern multimammate mouse) is the source of this 130-nucleotide small nucleolar RNA. RefSeq annotates it as small nucleolar RNA SNORA17. The transcript has a single exon. The record is from RefSeq and is a predicted model, not a curated record. Lineage: Eukaryota; Metazoa; Chordata; Mammalia; Rodentia; Muridae.